UCUUCUGGGAUUAAAAACAAACAAGAGAUGUAUCACUGAUGGCAUUCAGUGCAAGCUCAACAUCUGGUUUCCUUAAAGAAAAAUAACUGAAUACAUUGAAUAGUCAUUUCAUAAUUACAGUUGAAAUACAAGGAUAUUUUGCACCGACAUUUCACAAAGAAGAGAUUACCAGCGCCACUUAGAGUUUUUAUUCCUCACACCCAGAUGGACCUGCUGCUCAGGCACAUUUCACAACCACAGUUUAAUAGCAACGGCUUUCAGUCAAUACCUUCAAAAGAAAACAGACAGGAUCUAGCAAUUCUAUGAAUUCACUCCUGACUCCCAACUGGAAAGGCUAUUCCCUUCAGUAAACGCUACAGGGGUCAAGUCCAGCUCUGUGGAAGGGUGGCCAGAUAACACAACGUCUGCAUUUCACCCAUCUAGCUGAACAUGCACCAGGCUUUGCCAGCUGCGCUCCCCAGUUGAGACUCCGGACUCCCCACAUCUACUUAUUGCUGAAGACGUAAAAAUGGGAGAAUUUGGUGCUUCCUGAAAAAUUUGCCACUGUAUUAUCAAAGUCCACAAAUACAUAAAUUCUCGCUCGCUGCCAAGAAAAUUUUUAUCAUAGGGAGCUAUGCCUUAGGAUGCUUCUGGAAAAAAGGAUGAAAAUUCAAGUCAUAAAAAAUUAAACACGCGAUCUGGGGGAAGAGGGGAACUGACAAGUCUGCAAACACAUGCAAAAUAAUCUACCCCAAACCAAAAACACAGAGAGGCAUACAAAAAAAAAUAAAACCCGCACAAGCCAUCUGUGAAUGACUAUUUCAGAAUCUUCCCUCUCUCUCAAAUCAAACCUAAAUGUCAAAAUAAAUGUGUGUGAAGAUCCAUUUUGCAUGGAACAUAUUUUUCAGAUGUUCCACUUUACAACUGUUUUCACAGAAAAAAAAAAAGUACCUCCCCACAACAGUCAAGCUGCAGGAAUGAUAGCUUUUAGCUGGCUAGCCAUUUCCACAGCUGACUUUAUACACAGGCAGCUUCAGGAACCCCAAAACAACUACAGCACAUAUGUAGAAGUAUUUCAUAGCUUUUCUAUAGAAUCACAGUUUAACUUAUCUUUUAUGGUUUGCUUGGCAACACUUUAGCACCAUCAGAAUCUCUUUUAAGUUUACAGCUUUUUUCCCUUUUUCCAAAGUUGUUCUAAAGAAAGAGUUAAACUACACAGUCUAUAAAGUUCCAUUUAUACAAUAAAUAGGCUUGUCCGAUUUAGAAAUAAUCGAAAGUCAUUUUCCAACCUUAUAUACCAUCAAUAUAUUUACACUCAGUGCUUUCUAAAGUCAUGUAAGCUGAUACAAAUUCCCUCAUUGUGACACAAAAUAGAUACUGUGAGGCUUAUUUUUAAUUAUGAAUGGUUAUGAAAAAAUAAUUGUAAGAAACAGCUAUUGACAAGUGGAACUAAAACCUAUAAUACUAAAAGCUUGUAGAAAUUAAGCAAUGUGUCUGACAUUGCGGCAGGUUAACUGACAAACAGAACAUCUCAGUAAUACUUUAAUACUGAUGCUGUUACAUGAACUGCAAUGAGGGAUGUAAGUAAUUUUGUUUUACGGUAUGGGAUACCUAGACAAUGGUCUGGAAUUCAAGUAAAUCUGUGCUUCACAAAACAAGUUAUACUGUGGCUCUGCUUAGCACAAUUACUUAUUUAGACAUACAGUUUUAUCCCAAAAUCCUGUAACAUAUAAAGGAAAACUGAGGGAUUCAUUUUAAAAAAGGAAAGAACCAAAGAAGGAUACGACAAAUUAAAACAGUUUUACUAGAAACUAGUUGCUAAAAGGAAAUAUAGCCUGAGGCUCUGAAACUAAUUUUGGCAAUGCAGAAUUGGGGCUGACGUAUACUUUUUUGCAAAUGCUUUGUGCCUUCCAUAAACAAAGAAAAAGCCUCCCAACAUUUGUUCCUGAAAUGCUUACUAAGGUAUCACUUUUAGUGAUCUUCAUGGUUUUGCCUAAGUAAUCACGGAACGAUGAGUCCUUGGUAAGACAGAAAUGGUUAUAACACUAUUGCAUAUACAGGAUAUAUAUGCAUUAGAAGUCUGUAACACAUCUACCUCAGCGACUCGAUCGUUCCUAAAAGUGCACCAUAACCCAGUUCCUCUUAAAAAUGCAAGACAAGUGCUGGGGAGGGUGGUUUUUUCACUUUGUUUUUGGUUGGGUUUUGUUCUUUACAUAGAGACAAAGUAGGAAAGAGAUCCUUUAUAGAGGUCUAAACAGAUAUUGUAAUAUAUCUAGUCAUAAUAUAUUGACAUCUCAGGUGCAGUGUAUAUGCCAGACCUUUAAUUCAUGCAACACAUUCAAAAGCGGACUUCUGUCAUUAUAGGUACGCUAUUUGUAUUUAUACCAUGAGUAUGUAAAUACAUAUACAAGCACGGGAUUAUAUAGAGAAACACAUCAUUUAAUGUAACCCCUGGCAUGACUUGCUUCUCAGGAAGGAAGUCUUUCAGUGUUCCUAUAUAGAGACUGGAGCUCAGGAAAUUAAAACUUAUCUCUAGAGUCGCUUCUCUGUGCAGGAAUGUUCCCCCCCUCCACAGCCUAAGAAUCUGAUUCAUUUUCCAUUUCAACUCUCUUCCCUCCCCUCCAGUCCAUGGGCAGUCAUUACAAGAUACUCUGAGCACUUGUUGUUUUCAAAAACACCAAAUCUGUCUUCUUAAUUUUUUUUAAAUGUAAAAAGAAAAAAAAAAAAGGUGGUGGUACUGAUGGACAAGUGCAAAGCCGUGUGCGCGGACUGAAGAUUUACAGUGAAAAGUUGUGCUUUGUGGUGCGUUUUUUGUGAAGGAUGGGAGUUCUAAAUUAAAUUUUUCAAAACUGCA
Non-coding RNA from Phalacrocorax carbo (great cormorant), 2833 nucleotides. The record is from RefSeq and is a predicted model, not a curated record. NCBI's taxonomy places the organism in Eukaryota, Metazoa, Chordata, Aves, Suliformes, Phalacrocoracidae.